UACGAUUGGUGAAUGAGGUCCAUUGGACGACUAUUCAAAUAACUUCAUAAUUUCCUAUUCAAAACAUUUGACAUCAUUACAUUUUAUCUAAAGAAUGGCACGGAAGAACAAUUGAAAAUAUGUAGAUCUAUGUUUUGAUAUUUAGAAAGUCCUAAUUUUAAGUCUAUGGUAGAACUUCAAAUUGGUUAAGGGAACUUUUGCAUUUUCUGGACAUGUUCUUUUGUAGCUUUAGGGAAUUAGAUCUACUGCUUUCUAACUGCGGGCCAUCCCAUCAUUCUAGAUUAAUAUAAAGUUUUGAUUUUAACGGAAAAAAAAGGAAAAUUCUUUUAUUUGUAUUAAGCAUAGACUCUCACUUUUUUUUUG
Biomphalaria pfeifferi is the source of this 363-nucleotide non-coding RNA. The record is from the annotation of a GenBank genome assembly. NCBI's taxonomy places the organism in Eukaryota, Metazoa, Mollusca, Gastropoda, Planorbidae.